Molecule: ribosomal RNA, 484 nt
Filed under: uncultured bacterium
Lineage: Bacteria
Description: partial 16S ribosomal RNA
Rfam family: Bacterial small subunit ribosomal RNA
Source: RNAcentral
AUUGAACGCUGGCGGCAGGCCUAACACAUGCAAGUCGAGCGGAUGAAGGGAGCUUGCUCCUGGAUUCAGCGGCGGACGGGUGAGUAAUGCCUAGGAAUCUGCCUGGUAGUGGGGGAUAACGUCCGGAAACGGGCGCUAAUACCGCAUACGUCCUGAGGGAGAAAGUGGGGGAACUUCGGACCUCACGCUAUCAGAUGAGCCUAGGUCGGAUUAGCUAGUUGGUGGGGUAAAGGCCUACCAAGGCGACGAUCCGUAACUGGUCUGAGAGGAUGAUCAGUCACACUGGGACUGAGACACGGUCCAGACUCCUACGGGAGGCAGCAGUGGGGAAUAUUGGACAAUGGGCGAAAGCCUGAUCCAGCCAUGCCGCGUGUGUGAAGAAGGUCUUCGGAUUGUAAAGCACUUUAAGUUGGGAGGAAGGGCAGUAAGUUAAUACCUUGCUGUUUUGACGUUACCAACAGAAUAAGCACCGGCUAACUUCGUG